Long non-coding RNA from Mesocricetus auratus (golden hamster), 243 nucleotides. RefSeq lists it as uncharacterized. NCBI's taxonomy places the organism in Eukaryota, Metazoa, Chordata, Mammalia, Rodentia, Cricetidae. The transcript is spliced from 3 exons. The record is from RefSeq and is a predicted model, not a curated record.
GAAAUUUCUGAAUUACAAGAAACAACAAAUCAUCAAGCAGAAGAAAGUAAAAAGAGUCUGGCAACAAAAAACCAAUCAAUUCAAGCAUUCACAAUGCAUUCAGAGAAUGGGAAGGAAGAAGAGAAUAAACUAUUAAAAGAAAUUGAUAGGCUUAACCAUGAAAUUUCUAUCUUGCAAUCAACAAAAAAACAUCAGGAUGAGGAAAUUCAAGAAUUGCAGACAAAUCAAGUAAGUCCAUAUUUA